CCGAAAGUUGAUCCUAGAGGUAUAUUUCAUGGACAUGACAACACAGUUGAAGAUGUUCAGUUCUGCCCUUCCAGUGCGCAGGAGUUUUGUAGUGUGGGUGAUGAUGCUUGUCUUAUUCUGUGGGAUGCUCGAACUGGCACUGCCCCAGCUGUUAAGGUUGAGAAAGCUCACACUGGAGAUGUUCAUUGUGUUGAUUGGAAUCCCCUUGAUGUUAACUAUAUCUUAAGUGGGUAUG
Molecule: long non-coding RNA, 235 nt
Organism: Zea mays
Lineage: Eukaryota; Viridiplantae; Streptophyta; Magnoliopsida; Poales; Poaceae
Exons: 3
Source: RefSeq, a predicted model, not a curated record